GUGAGUCAUCGAAUCUUUGAACGCACAUUGCGCCCGCUAGUAUUCUAGCGGGCAUGCCUGUUCGAGCGUCAUUUCAACCCUCAAGCACUGCUUGGUGUUGGGGCCCUACAGCUUCUGUAGGCCCUGAAAACUAGUGGCGGGCUCGCUAUAACUCCGAGCGUAGUAGUAAUAUCUCGCUUAGGACGUGAUGGCGGGAUCCGGCCGUUAAACCCCCCAAUUUUCUGAAGGUUGACCUCGGAUCAGGUAGGAAUACCCGCUGAACUUAAGCAUAUCAAUAAGCGGAGGA
This 286-nucleotide unclassified non-coding RNA is filed under the name Cordana sp. Its description in RNAcentral is "partial contains 5.8S ribosomal RNA, internal transcribed spacer 2, and large subunit ribosomal RNA". The stretch from base 1 to 71 matches the Rfam family "5.8S ribosomal RNA", at positions 84 to 154 of the family's 154-position model. The record is from RNAcentral. Lineage: Eukaryota; Fungi; Ascomycota; Sordariomycetes; Coniochaetales; Cordanaceae.